UAGGAAACGUUGAUUUUACAAGCACCAUGACAACAACCGGGAACAUUAAACAUUUAGUCUGUCAACAUGCAUCGAGAAAAGAGUGUGAAAGCCAAAGAGGUUAUAGAGGCUUUUAUAAAGUUUAUCUCCGCUCUUGAGGUGGACUCGGUGCCAUGUGCUGAAACUUUCCGGCGGGCAAAAUUCAACAAACACGAUGUGAUGCAGAACAUGUGGGAUUUGCUCCGUAGCCUUCUCGUGAAAGCAGUACGAAUGGAAUGCAAAUGUCAGCACUCAGAUCCAGAUGCCCAGGCCAGGUUUGUGAGGAGCGCGCUGUGGCACUGUGGAUACCGUGCACGUUGGGUGGUGGCACCGCAGGCUGGUGGUUGCUGUGGAGACGGGGUAGGGAGCCGAGAGCUGCUUUUGGCCCUCGGCUGGAUGCUGUCAUCAGGGAGCCUCCUGGAGUUCCUGCUGGGAGAGAGAGUGCUUGCAGAUGCAGCCCCUGGCACUGCCUCCUGCACAGGUGAGAGGCUGGCCUUGUGUUCCUGGUUGCCCGCAUUGCAGUGGCUGGCACUGCGCACCAUAUUCAUGGGGAAUUCAAGUGCAAUGUGGAAUAGAACCUAAAACUGGCUUUUUUUCCCCGUCCAGAAAUAGCCCCCUGGGUAAACAAAUCCUCUUUUUUGUUGCUCUUCCCAUACCACUGAGACCAGAUCAGAGAGGAAAGCAGAGAGAGGCAGCUUUAGC
Clupea harengus (Atlantic herring) is the source of this 720-nucleotide long non-coding RNA. NCBI's taxonomy places the organism in Eukaryota, Metazoa, Chordata, Actinopteri, Clupeiformes, Clupeidae. The record is from Ensembl.